RNAcentral lists this ribosomal RNA (484 nucleotides) under uncultured bacterium. Its description in RNAcentral is "partial 16S ribosomal RNA". It matches the Rfam family "Bacterial small subunit ribosomal RNA", at positions 30 to 507 of the family's 1533-position model. The record is from RNAcentral.
AUUGAACGCUGGCGGCAGGCCUAACACAUGCAAGUCGAGCGGAUGAAGGGAGCUUGCUCCUGGAUUCAGCGGCGGACGGGUGAGUAAUGCCUAGGAAUCUGCCUGGUAGUGGGGGAUAACGUCCGGAAACGGGCGCUAAUACCGCAUACGUCCUGAGGGAGAAAGUGGGGGAUCUUCGGACAUCACGCUAUCAGAUGAGCCUAGGUCGGAUUAGCUAGUUGGUGGGGUAAAGGCGUACCAAGGCGACGAUCCGUAACUGGUCUGAGAGGGUGAUCAGUCACACUGGAACUGAGACACGGUCCAGACUCCUACGGGAGGCAGCAGUGGGGAAUAUUCGACAAUGGGCGAAAGCCUGAUGCAGCCAUGCCGCGUGUGUGAAGAAGGUCUUCGGAUUGUAAAGCACUUUUAUUUGGGAGGAACGACAGUAAGUUAAUACCUUGCUGUUUUGACGUUACCAACAGAAUAAGCACCGGCUAACUUCGUG